GACAGAGGUCCCGAGCGUUAGGCGGAAUCACUGGGCUUAAAGCGUGUGUAGGCGGCGGCCUAAGUACCUUGUGAAAUCCCACGGCUCACCCGUGGAACUGCUCGGUAUACUGGGUCGCUUGAGCCACUUAGGGGCUACCGGAACAAAUGGUGGAGCGGUGAAAUGCGUAGAUAUUGGGAAGAACACCGGUGGCGAAGGCGGCCAUCUGGACCGGCACUGACACUGAGGCGCGAAAGCUAGGGGAGCAAACGGG
RNAcentral lists this ribosomal RNA (253 nucleotides) under uncultured bacterium. RNAcentral's name for it is "partial 16S ribosomal RNA". It matches the Rfam family "Bacterial small subunit ribosomal RNA", at positions 524 to 776 of the family's 1533-position model. The record is from RNAcentral.